Molecule: ribosomal RNA, 263 nt
Filed under: uncultured archaeon
Lineage: Archaea
Description: partial 16S ribosomal RNA
Rfam family: Archaeal small subunit ribosomal RNA
Source: RNAcentral
AGGGUGUAAACGCUGCGGGCUUGGUGUUGGGGGUCCUUUGAGGGCGCCCAGUGCCGGAGAGAAGUUGUUAAGCCUGCUGCUUGGGGAGUACGUCCGCAAGGAUGAAACUUAAAGGAAUUGGCGGGGGGAGCACCGCAACGGGAGGAGCGUGCGGUUCAAUUGGAUUCAACGCCGAAAAACUCACCAGGAGCGACGGAUAUAUGAAGGUCAAGCUGAUGACUUUACCUGAUUUUCCGUAGAGGUGGUGCAUGGCGUAGACGUCU